GACGAACGCUGGCGGCGUGCUUAGCACAUGCAAGUCGAACGGAAAGGCCCUGCUUUUGUGGGGUGCUCGAGUGGCGAACGGGUGUGUAACACGUGAGUAACCUGCCCUUGACUUUGGGAUAACUUCAGGAAACUGGGGCUAAUACCGGAUAGGAGCUCCUGCUGCAUGGUGGGGGUUGGAAAGUUUCGGCGGUUGGGGAUGGACUCGCGGCUUAUCAGCUUGUUGGUGGGGUAGUGGCUUACCAAGGCUUUGACGGGUAGCCGGCCUGAGAGGGUGACCGGCCACAUUGGGACUGAGAUACGGCCCAGACUCCUACGGGAGGCAGCAGUGGGGAAUAUUGCACAAUGGGCGGAAGCCUGAUGCAGCAACGCCGCGUGCGGGAUGACGGCCUUCGGGUUGUAAACCGCUUUCGCCUGUGACGAAGCGUGAGUGACGGUAAUGGGUAAAGAAGCACCGGCUAACUACGUG
This 468-nucleotide ribosomal RNA is filed under the name uncultured bacterium. Its description in RNAcentral is "partial 16S ribosomal RNA". It matches the Rfam family "Bacterial small subunit ribosomal RNA", at positions 28 to 507 of the family's 1533-position model. The record is from RNAcentral.